This 406-nucleotide ribosomal RNA is filed under the name uncultured bacterium. Its description in RNAcentral is "partial 16S ribosomal RNA". It matches the Rfam family "Bacterial small subunit ribosomal RNA", at positions 30 to 526 of the family's 1533-position model. The record is from RNAcentral.
AUUGAACGCUGGCGGCAGGCCUAACACAUGCAAGUCGAACGAGUGGCGGACGGGUGAGUAAUGUCUGGGAAACUGCCUGAUGGAGGGGGAUAACUACUGGAAACGGUAGCUAAUACCGCAUACCAUCAGAUGUGCCCAGAUGGGAUUAGCUUGUGGGUGGGGUAACGGCUCACCAAGGCGACGAUCCCUAGCUGGUCUGAGAGGAUGACCAGCCACACGGGAACUGGGCAGCGGUCCAGACGCCUACGGUAGUCAGAAGUGGGGACUAAUGCACAAUGGGCGCAAGCCUGAUGCAGCCAUGCCGCGUGUAUGAAGAAGGCCUGCGGGUUGUAAAGUACUUUCAGCGGGGAAGCGUUACCCGCAGAAGAAGCACCGGCUAACUCCGUGCCAGCAGCCGCGGUAAUUC